This 375-nucleotide unclassified non-coding RNA is filed under the name uncultured Actinomycetes bacterium. RNAcentral describes it as "uncultured actinobacterium contains 16S-23S intergenic spacer region". The record is from RNAcentral. Lineage: Bacteria; Bacillati; Actinomycetota; Actinomycetes.
UCCGAGUUGACCCCGGCAGUCUCCUAUGAGUCCCCACCAUCACGUGCUGGCAACAUAGGACGAGGGUUGCGCUCGUUGCGGGACUUAACCCAACAUCUCACGACACGAGCUGACGACAACCAUGCACCACCUGUGCACGGCCCUUACGGACCUCCCAUCUCUGGGAGAUUUCCGUGCAUGUCAAGCCCAGGUAAGGUUCUUGGCGUUGCGUCCAAUUAAACCACAUGCUCCGCUGCUUGUGCGGGCCCCCGUCAAUUCCUUUGAGUUUUAACCUUGCGGCCGUACUCCCCAGGCGGGUCACUUAUUGCGUUAGCUGCGGCACACGCGGGGUCGAUACCGCGUACACCUAGUGACCAUCGUUUACGGCGCGGACUA